AGCAGCCGCGGUAAUUCCAGCUCCAAUAGCGUAUAUUAAAGUUGUUGCAGUUAAAAAGCUCGUAGUUGAAUUUCGGGAUUGACGUGAUGGUCAUGCCUUAAGGGGUAUGAACUGUUACAGUUGAUUUCUCACCUUCUGGAGAAACUUGAUGUCCUUUAUUGGGUGUCUUGCGGAUCCAGGACCUUUACCUUGAAAAAAUUAGAGUGUUUAAAGCAGGCAUUUUUGCUCGAAUACAUUAGCAUGGAAUAAUAGAAUAGGACGGCAUGGUUCUAUUUUGUUGGUUUCUAGGAUCACCGUAAUGAUUAAUAGGGAUAGUUGGGGGCAUUAGUAUUCAAUUGUCAGAGGUGAAAUUCUUGGAUUUAUUGAAGACUAACUACUGCGAAAGCAUUUGCCAAGGAUGUUUUCAUUAAUCAAGAACGAAAGUUAGGGGAUCGAAGACGAUCAGAUACCGUCGUAGUCUUAACCAUAAACUAUGCCGACUAGGAAUCAGACGAUGUUAAUUUUUUAAUGACUCGUUUGGCACCUUAC
This 528-nucleotide ribosomal RNA is filed under the name uncultured Entrophosporaceae. RNAcentral's name for it is "SSU rRNA". It matches the Rfam family "Eukaryotic small subunit ribosomal RNA", at positions 569 to 1091 of the family's 1831-position model. Lineage: Eukaryota; Fungi; Glomeromycota; Glomeromycetes; Entrophosporales; Entrophosporaceae. The record is from RNAcentral.